GGGAAUAUUGCACAAUGGGCGCAAGCCUGAUGCAGCCAUGCCGCGUGUAUGAAGAAGGCCUUGGUUGUAAAGUACUUUCAGCGGGGAGGAAGGUGUUGUGGUUAAUAACCGCAGCAAUUGACGUUACCCGCAGAAGAGGCACCGGCUAACUCCGUGCCAA
RNAcentral lists this ribosomal RNA (160 nucleotides) under uncultured bacterium. Its description in RNAcentral is "partial 16S rRNA". It matches the Rfam family "Bacterial small subunit ribosomal RNA", at positions 357 to 511 of the family's 1533-position model. The record is from RNAcentral.